UAGGUUUUGAGUGCUGAGUGGUCACAUA
RNAcentral lists this non-coding RNA (28 nucleotides) under Rattus norvegicus (Norway rat). The record is from RNAcentral. Lineage: Eukaryota; Metazoa; Chordata; Mammalia; Rodentia; Muridae.